This 555-nucleotide ribosomal RNA is filed under the name uncultured bacterium. RNAcentral describes it as "partial 16S ribosomal RNA". It matches the Rfam family "Bacterial small subunit ribosomal RNA", at positions 355 to 901 of the family's 1533-position model. The record is from RNAcentral.
UGGGGAAUAUUGGACAAUGGGCGAAAGCCUGAUCCAGCCAUGCCGCGUGUGUGAAGAAGGUCUUCGGAUUGUAAAGCACUUUAAGUUGGGAGGAAGGGCAGUAAAUUAAUACUUUGCUGUUUUGACGUUACCGACAGAAUAAGCACCGGCUAACUCUGUGCCAGCAGCCGCGGUAAUACAGAGGGUGCAAGCGUUAAUCGGAAUUACUGGGCGUAAAGCGCGCGUAGGUGGUUCGUUAAGUUGGAUGUGAAAUCCCCGGGCUCAACCUGGGAACUGCAUUCAAAACUGACGAGCUAGAGUAUGGUAGAGGGUGGUGGAAUUUCCUGUGUAGCGGUGAAAUGCGUAGAUAUAGGAAGGAACACCAGUGGCGAAGGCGACCACCUGGACUGAUACUGACACUGAGGUGCGAAAGCGUGGGGAGCAAAACAGGAUUAGAUACCCUGGUAGUCCACGCCGUAAACGAUGUCAACUAGCCGUUGGGAGCCUUGAGCUCUUAGUGGCGCAGCUAACGCAUUAAGUUGACCGCCUGGGGAGUACGGCCGCAAGGUUAAAAGC